CAACCACACACAAAAAACACAGGAGCACACAACAUAAAACCAAGGAGGUCAGUUGAAUUAAGUUCUGUUGGUUUAAACAACGGUUAAUUUCUUAAUAUGCAUUUGUAACAAUGGAUUAACAGACUUACUUAGUAAUUUGACUUUGGACAUAUCUGGUGUCAAAUUUGUAUGUUAUCAGGCUUACAAAUUCACAAUCUGUGACAUGGUGUGCAUCUGCACACUUACUGUUGAAAGUACAAAAGGGCACCUUUUAAUAGGGCAGACUGUGAGAGGUCACAUUGUGCUGCUUAGGACUUGGUCACCAGGACCUACAGUAGAGAUAAUGUGUCUCUCCAUGUUAGUGUCACAAAGUAGAAAUUUAGCUCCUUUAAAUCCCCAGGCUUGAUACACAUACCUAGACGGUUUUAGUUUUAAAAUGGUCUUUGUAUGGAUUUUUUGAGCUUGAGUGUUUUGGUACAGUUGGUUUUUACACCUGAUGCAAACUGUAAAGACCACCUUUUCAAGUGGACUUGGGCAUGGAUUUGUUCACACUUAUCAAACGAGCAGGACUUUGGGGUCAACUUUAGGAUCUGGGCCCGGGUCCCUAAUGUAAAAGCCCCCUUACUGCCUUAUAUUCCAUUAUAUUUUUAUACUUUGAAUUGUUACUUGUAUUUUCCUUCCCAUAAAUAAAGGUAUUUCCAACAUAAAUUGGUGCAUAAAAAAGAGAAAAUGAAAAUGGGUUUGAAGCUGAAAAUGUCGUACCCCCCACUUUCAUAUGUUUCCCCAAAAAGGCCCAUUCGGAGCCAGGAAAAAAAGAAUUAUGUGUAUAGACUACACCCCAAUGUUGAACCCAAAGUUACGCCCUUGAAAUGUACAUUAGUGGACAUGUAGUUGACAAUUUAAAAAAAGGAAGAUCCCAUGUAAAGCAGUCUGUUCUGAAAAAAAGGGACUACAGUCAUCAUGCUGACGGAGGCGGGGAAGUGGGCUGGUGUGUUUGGAGGUGUCCUCAGUGUCCGUGCCAGGCAAGCAAAGAAAACACAACAACCCAAAGCAAAACACCACACUCAAACUAUAAACAGUAAAAACAAGAA
This is a long non-coding RNA of Sander lucioperca (pikeperch), 1070 nucleotides long. RefSeq lists it as uncharacterized. The record is from RefSeq and is a predicted model, not a curated record. NCBI's taxonomy places the organism in Eukaryota, Metazoa, Chordata, Actinopteri, Perciformes, Percidae. The transcript has 2 exons.